Molecule: ribosomal RNA, 253 nt
Filed under: uncultured bacterium
Lineage: Bacteria
Description: partial 16S ribosomal RNA
Rfam family: Bacterial small subunit ribosomal RNA
Source: RNAcentral
UACGUAGGGGGCGAGCGUUGUCCGGAAUCAUUGGGCGUAAAGCGCACGUAGGCGGAUUGCUAAGUCAGGGGUGAAAUCCUGGAGCUCAACUCCAGAACUGCCUUUGAUACUGGCGACCUUGAGUCCGGGAGAGGUGAGUGGAACUGCGAGUGUAGAGGUGAAAUUCGUAGAUAUUCGCAAGAACACCAGUGGCGAAGGCGGCUCACUGGCCCGGUACUGACGCUGAGGUGCGAAAGCGUGGGGAGCAAACAGG